RNAcentral lists this ribosomal RNA (139 nucleotides) under uncultured bacterium. Its description in RNAcentral is "partial 16S ribosomal RNA". It matches the Rfam family "Bacterial small subunit ribosomal RNA", at positions 354 to 509 of the family's 1533-position model. The record is from RNAcentral.
UGGGGGGAUAUUGCACAAUGGGGGAAACCCUGAUGCAGCGACGCCGCGUGGGUGAAGAAGUAUUUCGGUAUGUAAAGCCCUAUCAGCAGGGAAGAAAGAAGACGGUACCUGACUAAGAAGCCCCGGCUAACUACGUGCC